Molecule: transfer RNA, 71 nt
Filed under: Loxodonta africana (African savanna elephant)
Lineage: Eukaryota; Metazoa; Chordata; Mammalia; Proboscidea; Elephantidae
Rfam family: tRNA
About the family: Transfer RNA (tRNA) molecules are approximately 80 nucleotides in length.
Source: Rfam by way of RNAcentral
AUACUGAUGGUUCAGUGGUAGAAUUCUAAUCUUGCAUGUGGGAGUCUUGGGUUCAAUUCCCAGUCAGUGCA